GGACUACUAGGGUAUCUAAUCCUGUUUGCUCCCCUAGCUUUCGUCUCUCAGCGUCAGUUGUGAUCCAGCGAGCCGCUUUCGCCUCGGAUGUUCCUACGGAUAUCUACGCAUUUCACCGCUACACCCGUAAUUCCACUCGCCUCUCUCACACUCUAGCACGGCAGUUUCGCUAGCAGCCCCUAGGUUAAGCCUAGGGAUUUCACUCUCGACUUGCCGCACCGCCUACGGACCCUUUACGCCCAGUAAUUCCGAGCAACGCUGGCCCCCUACGUAUUACCGCGGCUGCUGGCAC
RNAcentral lists this ribosomal RNA (292 nucleotides) under uncultured Acidobacteriota bacterium. RNAcentral's name for it is "uncultured Acidobacteria bacterium partial 16S ribosomal RNA". Lineage: Bacteria; Pseudomonadati; Acidobacteriota. The record is from RNAcentral.